Molecule: long non-coding RNA, 450 nt
Filed under: Brassica rapa (field mustard)
Lineage: Eukaryota; Viridiplantae; Streptophyta; Magnoliopsida; Brassicales; Brassicaceae
Description: long non-coding RNA (BRAP_LNC004867)
Source: RNAcentral
AAAUUACAUCCCUUCUUUUACUAACUCUUUCGGAAAUACGAUCUCCGAGGAUUUUCGGGUGGUAAUUCCGUCGUAACCGUUUUUGACCCCAACAGUGUGGGUAUAUGCAGUGCUCGUAGAUGAUGCAGAAGUUUGGAGGAAAUCAGAUGAAAUAGAGUGUUUGAAAGAUGCACACGAUUCAUCAAUUGCAUGGCCAAUUGAUAAAUUGGUCAUAUUUUAAGCUGCUGUAAGUAUUCUUUUUGUGUGUUUAAACCUGCAUAUGUAAUUGCAUAACUGAUCAGAGUUUUCGUUGUUGCAGCAGCUGAGGGAAUGAAGAACUUAGGUCCAGAUUUAGCUAGUGUUUAAGCUAGGCUAAUGAACUUGAUGUAUGAUAUUAUUGCUUAUGACUUUGGUUUGUGUUUUAGAACUGCAUCAGUAACACUUAUGUGUAAUGACUUAUGUAUGUCAAAC